CUACCGGGGUAUCUAAUCCUGUUUGCUCCCCACGCUUUCGCGUCUCAGCGUCAGCAACGAUCCAGAGGGCCGCCUUCGCCGCCGGUGUUCCUCCUGAUAUCUACGCAUUUCACCGCUACACCAGGAAUUCCACCCUCCUCUAUCGCGCUCUAGCUUGCUAGUAUCGGAUGCACUUCUGGGGCUGAGCCCCAGGCUUUCACACCCGACUUGACAAACCGCCUACACGCCCUUUACGCCCAGUCAAUCCGAACAACGCUUGCACCCUCCGUCUUACCGCGGCUGCUGGCAC
RNAcentral lists this ribosomal RNA (289 nucleotides) under uncultured bacterium. RNAcentral describes it as "partial 16S ribosomal RNA". The record is from RNAcentral.